AGCGAACGCUGGCGGCAGGCUUAACACAUGCAAGUCGAACGGGCACUUCGGUGUCAGUGGCAGACGGGUGAGUAACGCGUGGGAACAUACCUCUUGGUUCGGAACAACACAGGGAAACUUGUGCUAAUACCGGAUAAGCCCUUACGGGGAAAGAUUUAUCGCCGAGAGAUUGGCCCGCGUCUGAUUAGCUAGUUGGUGUGGUAAAAGCGCACCAAGGCGACGAUCAGUAGCUGGCUGAGAGGAUGAUCAGCCACAUUGGGACUGAGACACGGCCCAAACUCCUACGGGAGGCAGCAGUGGGGAAUAUUGGACAAUGGGGGAAACCCUGAUCCAGCCAUGCCGCGUGAGUGAUGAAGGCCUUC
This 362-nucleotide ribosomal RNA is filed under the name uncultured bacterium. RNAcentral describes it as "bacterial SSU rRNA". It matches the Rfam family "Bacterial small subunit ribosomal RNA", at positions 29 to 419 of the family's 1533-position model. The record is from RNAcentral.